Molecule: long non-coding RNA, 590 nt
Organism: Papaver somniferum (opium poppy)
Lineage: Eukaryota; Viridiplantae; Streptophyta; Magnoliopsida; Ranunculales; Papaveraceae
Exons: 3
Source: RefSeq, a predicted model, not a curated record
UCGAAAGGCUUAUAAUACCGUGCUCCUUAUGAUGGUUGGAUUGAACUCUGUCUUCAGAUGCUCGCUAAUAGAAGUUCCAAGGAAAGCUGUUUCCUUUUGCACCAGUGACUUUCCCUGCUCAGAUAGAAGAAAGCACACUAUUCUUCUUCCGAGACAUAACCCUUGGUAAUGUACUUCUGGAAUGGGGGGAAAAGGGUUCUGAACAAUGGAAUAUGCUCCCUGAACAAGCCGGUUGUGGCAAUGCAACCAGGGUAUAGAGAAGCAAAUGUAAUUCCGGUCUCCUCGUGGUAACGUUUGUGGAACUCUUGCAUGGUGAGCAUGUUGCAGAUUUUGCUAUCCUUGUAGGCCUUGGCACCAUCAAAGUUUCCUCCGUCAAUCAUUGCUGAACUGUUCAACCCGUUCAGCCCUCCUGCAAGUCCACGAAGAUCUCCUAGGUUGGCCUUUGGAGGAUUCUAAUGGGAAAGGACAUACCCGUUAUGGAGCCGACGAUGAUGAGGCGCUUAGAUGGGUAAUCAGACUUAUUUAGGUCGUCCAUUAGCAACCGGGAUAGUAAGAAAUGUCCUAGGUGGUUAGUUCCGACACUGAGCUCG